Molecule: transfer RNA, 70 nt
Filed under: Cordylochernes scorpioides
Lineage: Eukaryota; Metazoa; Arthropoda; Arachnida; Pseudoscorpiones; Chernetidae
Description: tRNA-Gly
Rfam family: tRNA
About the family: Transfer RNA (tRNA) molecules are approximately 80 nucleotides in length. Their secondary structure includes four short double-helical elements and three loops (D, anti-codon, and T loops).
Source: RNAcentral
CCAUCGAUGAUUCAGUGGUAGAAUGCUCGCCUGCCACGCGGGCGGCCCGGGUUUGUUCCCGGCCGAUGCA